AUACCACGAUGAGGAUAUCUUCUGAGUAGCUCUUUAAAUCUUUCCCAUGCAUCAUAUAAACUUUUAUCUUCAAGUUGAUGAAAAGAUGUAAUCUCAUUCCUCAAUUU
Non-coding RNA from Citrus sinensis (sweet orange), 107 nucleotides. The record is from Rfam. Lineage: Eukaryota; Viridiplantae; Streptophyta; Magnoliopsida; Sapindales; Rutaceae.